This 496-nucleotide ribosomal RNA is filed under the name uncultured bacterium. RNAcentral describes it as "partial 16S ribosomal RNA". It matches the Rfam family "Bacterial small subunit ribosomal RNA", at positions 28 to 506 of the family's 1533-position model. The record is from RNAcentral.
GAUGAACGCUGGCGGCGUGCCUAAUACAUGCAAGUCGAGCGAACAGACGAGGAGCUUGCUCCUCUGACGUUAGCGGCGGACGGGUGAGUAACACGUGGAUAACCUACCUAUAAGACUGGGAUAACUUCGGGAAACCGGAGCUAAUACCGGAUAAUAUAUUGAACCGCAUGGUUCAAUAGUGAAAGACGGUUUUGCUGUCACUUAUAGAUGGAUCCGCGCCGCAUUAGCUAGUUGGUAAGGUAACGGCUUACCAAGGCAACGAUGCGUAGCCGACCUGAGAGGGGGAUCGGCCACACGGGAAGUGAGACACGGUCCAGACCCCUAGGGGGGGCAGGAGUAGGGAAUCUUCCGCAAUGGGCGAAAGCUUGACGGAGCAACCCCGGGUGGGUGAUGAAGGUUUUGGGAGCGUAAAACCCUUUUAUUAGGGAAGAAAAAAUGUGAAAGUAACUAUCCACGUUUUGACGGUACCAAAUCAAAAAGCCACGGCUAACUACGU